This 496-nucleotide ribosomal RNA is filed under the name uncultured bacterium. Its description in RNAcentral is "partial 16S ribosomal RNA". It matches the Rfam family "Bacterial small subunit ribosomal RNA", at positions 28 to 507 of the family's 1533-position model. The record is from RNAcentral.
GAUGAACGCUGGCGGCGUGCCUAAUACAUGCAAGUCGAGCGAACGGACGAGAAGCUUGCUUCUCUGAUGUUAGCGGCGGACGGGUGAGUAACACGUGGAUAACCUACCUAUAAGACUGGGAUAACUUCGGGAAACCGGAGCUAAUACCGGAUAAUAUUUUGAACCGCAUGGUUCAAAAGUGAAAGACGGUCUUGCUGUCACUUAUAGAUGGAUCCGCGCUGCAUUAGCUAGUUGGUAAGGUAACGGCUUACCAAGGCAACGAUGCAUAGCCGACCUGAGAGGGUGAUCGCCCACCCUGAAACUGGGCCACGGCCCAGACUCCUACGGGAGCAGCAGUAGGGAAUCUUCCGCAAUGGGCGAAAGCCUGACGGAGCAACGCCGCGUGAGUGAUGAAGGUCUUCGGAUCGUAAAACUCUGUUAUUAGGGAAGAACAUAUGUGUAAGUAACUGUGCACAUCUUGACGGUACCUAAUCAGAAAGCCACGGCUAACUACGUG